CAGAGCGUCUGAACACAGAUCUCAGAUCAGCACAAACAGCAGCUCACCAUCAUCAUCUUUAUCAUCAUCACAUCAUGAUGAAGAUUCUGGCUCUCGCUCUGCUGGUGGCGACUCUUCAGACUCUAGCGAAUGCUCAGACACAACCCCCCUCAAGCACAUCUACUACAUCAGUUUCUCCAGCUUCGACAGUUUCUACAGCUACUACAACUAGAGCUACUAUAUCGAUCAGCAAUUCCACAUACAACUCCACCAAUGGUCUUUCGGUCCUGAUGGCUCCGAUCCACCUGCUGGUGCUUCCAGUCUCCGUGUUUCUCUGGUGGCCCUGAGAAAACCUGCAGAUUCGGCUCCUCUUCUCUUUCUAAUGCUGUUUUUUCAUGAAGGGUUAACUACUGGAAUUAAUAUUAGACAUGAAUACUGUAAACUAUAAGAAAUUAAAGCCAUUUUCAUAAAAAAUUUGGACUGUGACUGAUUCUCAAAUGUUAAUCUGAAACAUUUAUUCUGUGUGUUUACAAGCUGAUUAUACUGCAUUCAUUUGUUAUUUACUGUAAUUACUGUAUGACUGAAUAAACAAGCAUGUAGUGUUAA
Danio rerio (zebrafish) is the source of this 585-nucleotide non-coding RNA. The record is from RefSeq and is a predicted model, not a curated record. Lineage: Eukaryota; Metazoa; Chordata; Actinopteri; Cypriniformes; Danionidae.